AACGUAGGUUCCGAGCGUUAUCCGGAUUUACUGGGCGUAAAGCGCGUUCAGGCGGUUUGGCAAGUCGGGCAUGAAAUCUCUCGGCUCAACCGGGAGAGGUUGUCCGAUACUUCCAGACUUGAGGGCAGUAGAGGGUGGUGGAAUUCCGGGUGUAGUGGUGAAAUGCGUAGAUAUCCGGAGGAACACCAGUGGCGAAAGCGGCCACCUGGACUGCACCUGACGCUGAGACGCGAAAGCGUGGGGAGCAAACAGG
This 253-nucleotide ribosomal RNA is filed under the name uncultured bacterium. RNAcentral describes it as "partial 16S ribosomal RNA". It matches the Rfam family "Bacterial small subunit ribosomal RNA", at positions 524 to 776 of the family's 1533-position model. The record is from RNAcentral.